GGACCAAUAUGUUGGUCGUGCCUCGGUACGUACUGACAUCGUUGGUUUCUACCUUCUGACGAACCAUGAUGUCAUUAAUUUGGUGUCUUGGGGAAUCAGGACUGUUACUUUGAAAAAAUUAGAGUGUUUAAAGCAGGCUCACGCUUGAAUACAUUAGCAUGGAAUAAUGAAAUAGGGCUUCAGUUCUAUUUUGUUGGUUUUCAGAAUCCGAAGCA
RNAcentral lists this ribosomal RNA (215 nucleotides) under uncultured fungus. RNAcentral describes it as "partial small subunit ribosomal RNA". The stretch from base 46 to 215 matches the Rfam family "Eukaryotic small subunit ribosomal RNA", at positions 693 to 865 of the family's 1831-position model. The record is from RNAcentral. Lineage: Eukaryota; Fungi.